ACGCUCUUAGCUCAGAGGAUAGAGCAUUAGCCUUCUAAGCUAAGGGUCACAGGUUCAAUUCCUGUAGAGCGUA
RNAcentral lists this transfer RNA (73 nucleotides) under Stachyamoeba lipophora. Its description in RNAcentral is "tRNA-Arg". It matches the Rfam family "tRNA". From Rfam's summary of the family: Transfer RNA (tRNA) molecules are approximately 80 nucleotides in length. Their secondary structure includes four short double-helical elements and three loops (D, anti-codon, and T loops). Further hydrogen bonds mediate the characteristic L-shaped molecular structure. tRNAs have two regions of fundamental functional importance: the anti-codon, which is responsible for specific mRNA codon recognition, and the 3' end, to which the tRNAs corresponding amino acid is attached (by aminoacyl-tRNA synthetases). tRNAs cope with the degeneracy of the genetic code in two manners: having more than one tRNA (with a specific anti-codon) for a particular amino acid; and 'wobble' base-pairing, i.e. permitting non-standard base-pairing at the 3rd anti-codon position. The record is from RNAcentral. Lineage: Eukaryota; Heterolobosea; Gruberellidae.